CCCUUAGAUGUCCUGGGCUGCACGCGCGCUACACUGACGUACGCAACGAGUGUCCUUUACCGAGAGGUAUGGGUAAUCAUUUGAGUGUACGUCGUGAUGGGGAUAGAAUAUUGUAAUUAUUACUCUUCAACGAGGAAUUCCUAGUAAGCGCAAGUCAGCAGCUUGCGCUGAUUACGUCCCUGCCCUUUGUACACACCGCCCGUCGCUCCUACCGAUGGGUGAUCCGGUGAAUGAUUCGGACUCGGUUGCCUCUAGCCACUAGUGGCGCUCGAGAAAGUUUUGUGAACCUUAUCACUUGGAGGAAGGAGAAGUCGUAACA
RNAcentral lists this ribosomal RNA (319 nucleotides) under uncultured eukaryote. RNAcentral's name for it is "partial 18S ribosomal RNA". It matches the Rfam family "Eukaryotic small subunit ribosomal RNA", at positions 1470 to 1796 of the family's 1831-position model. The record is from RNAcentral.